AUGGUGAGGGGGAUGCCCAAAUCAAGACCUAUCAAAGCGGCGGCCGAGGUGGUCUUCGACCCGUCCGUCUCUGGCCCCCGGAAGCCGCGCCGUGCCGAGGCGCCCUCGUCGAGCAGCGAGUAUCACCACUUCAUGGGGUCGAGUCUUUCAAAUAUGUACCACAAGCCAGCUCCGGCGAAAUCUACCGACAUGUCUGAUGAUGAGCCUGACAUUGAUAUUGAGAAGUUGUUGAAAGAUGUUGAGCUUUUCGGUGCCACUACAUGGAAGGACAAGAAUAAAAUACAGAACCGCAAAGUAGUUGAACUGGGUGGAAAGGCCAUUAAGAAGCAGCGUACACCAUUAUCUGUGGCAAUCCCAGCUAUGAAGAAUCAGCAGAAAAGAGAACAAAAGAAGAUUGAGGAGGAAAGACUGCUUGGGAUUUUUAGGAAACAAAACAAGAAUAAGAAAUUUGAGAAGCUUAGACCAGAGGACCGAGUACUCAGGGCAACUGAAGGGCGCUUCAAGAACGGUAUACUCGAUGUGAAGCACCUCAUGGGAGGACCAAAGCAGUCCUCGUCGUCAUCGUUCAGAGAUGCGCCGGAGCGGGAGAUGAGAAAGGGUAAGAAAGGGAAAGGAAAGGGAAAGGGGAAAGGAAAGGGGAAGGGAGGCCGAAGGAACAGACGUUGA
RNAcentral lists this ribosomal RNA (666 nucleotides) under Triticum aestivum (bread wheat). RNAcentral describes it as "partial small subunit ribosomal RNA". The record is from RNAcentral. Lineage: Eukaryota; Viridiplantae; Streptophyta; Magnoliopsida; Poales; Poaceae.